This 1680-nucleotide ribosomal RNA is filed under the name Candidatus Naiadarchaeales archaeon SRR2090153.bin461. RNAcentral's name for it is "bacterial SSU rRNA". It matches the Rfam family "Archaeal small subunit ribosomal RNA". The record is from RNAcentral. Lineage: Archaea; Nanobdellati; Candidatus Undinarchaeota; Candidatus Undinarchaeia; Candidatus Naiadarchaeales.
UAGUAAUUCCCGUUGAUCCUGCGGGAGAGCACUGCUAGUGGAGUUCGACUUAGUCAUGCAAGUUAAUCCGAAAGGGUAGCGGAAGGCUCCGUAACACGUCAAUAAUCUACCCUAAGGUUCGGUACAACAUCGGGAAACUGAUGCUAAUUCCGGAUAGAAGAAAGAUACUGGAAGGUUCUCUCUUCGAAAGCUUCGGCGCCUUGGGAUGAGUUGGCGGCAGAUUAGGCUGUUGGUAGUGUAAUGGACCACCAAACCUAAGAUCUGUAGGGGGGAUGAGAGUCUGAGCCUCGAGAGGGACACUGAGAUAAGGGUCCCAGCCCUACGGGGUGCAGCAGAUACGAAACCUGCACAAUGCGCGAAAGCGUGAUGCGGGAACUCCACGUGCUAUGGCUCUAAGUCAUAGCUUUUGCUAAGUUUUCAAAGCUUGGCGAAUAAGUGGUGGGCAAGACCGGUGCCAGCCGCCGCGGUAAUCCCGGCGCCACGAGUGGUAUUCACGUUUAUUGGGCCUACAGCAUCCGUAGCCGGCUCGUUAAGUCUUCUGUGAAAUUUGGCCUUUCAAGGGUCAAGCGUGCAGGAGAUACUGGCGAGCUAGAGACUGGGGGAAGCAGAUGGUAUUCCUGAGGGAGCGGUAAAAUUAAUUUUCAAUUCUCAGUUUUUGGUUCUGAAAAUUUAUUACAGUGUUUUAAUCUCAGGAGGACCUCCGAUGGCGAAGGCAAUCUGCUAUAACAGUUCUGACGGUGAGGGAUGAAAGCUAGGGGAGCAACCUGGAUUAGAUAGGUCUCUUUUUCUUUUCGUGAAAAGAAAAAGACACCUGGGAGAAAAAGAAAAGGUAGUGCGAUUUUCAAUCGCACAAAAUUUUCUUUCCCAGACUAGAUCCUAAAGACCCAGUUAGUCCUAGCCGUAAACACUGCUAGUUUGGUGCGACAGUUUCUUCGGGAAACUGUGGUGCCGUAGCGAAGGCGUUAAACUGGCCGCCUGGGGAGUACGGCCGCAAGACUGAAACUUAAAGGAAUAGGCGGGGGAACACCACAAGGGGUGAAUGCUGCGGCUCAAUUGGAUUCAACGCCCAGAACCUUACCAGCAGCGACAGCAGAAUGAAAGUCCUCCUGAAUGGGGUACUAGACACGCUGAGAGGUGGUGCAUGGCCGUCGUAAGCUCGUGCCGUGAGGUGUUCAGUUAAGAAAAAUUUUGGACAAAAUUUUCCAACACGAAAAAAUUCCAAUUUUUUCGCUGUAAGUCUGAGAACGAGCGAGACCUGCGUUUUUAUUUGCUAUCUUAAUUGCGAAAGUAGUUGGGAGCACAAUAGAGAGACUGCUGGCGUAAGCCAGAGGAAGGUGCAGGCGACGAUAGGUCUGUAUGCCCCGAAUCUGCUGGGCUGCACGUGGCAUGCAUUGGUUAAUGCAACGGGCUGCAACUCCGAGAGGAGAAGCCAAUCCCUUAAUGUUAACCUUGUUCGGAUCGAGGAUUGCAAUUCAUCCUCGUGAAGGCGAAAUCCCUAGUAACCGUGUUUUAGCAUAGCAUGGUGAAUACGUCCCUGUUCCUUGCACUCACUGCCCGUCAACCCAUUCGAGUCGGGUUUGGAUGAGGGCUGCGCUGAGCAGUUCGAAUCUGAGUUCGGCGAGGCGGGGUAAGUCGACACAAGGGAUCUGUAGGGGAACCUGCGGAUGGAUCACCUCCUUA